UACUUAGUGGCGGACGGGUGAGUAACGCGUGGGCAACCUGCCCCGUGCCGGGGGAUACCGCCUGGAAACAGGCGCUAAUACCGCAUAAGCGCAUACAGCCGCAUGGCAGUAUGCGGAAGGCUCCGGCGGCACGGGAUGGGCCCGCGCCCGAUUAGCCAGUUGGCGGGGUAACGGCCCACCAAAGCGACGAUCGGUAGCCGGCCUGAGAGGGCGGACGGCCACAUUGGGACUGAGACACGGCCCAAACUCCUACGGAAGGCAGCAG
RNAcentral lists this ribosomal RNA (265 nucleotides) under uncultured bacterium. RNAcentral describes it as "partial 16S ribosomal RNA". It matches the Rfam family "Bacterial small subunit ribosomal RNA", at positions 89 to 354 of the family's 1533-position model. The record is from RNAcentral.